RNAcentral lists this ribosomal RNA (458 nucleotides) under uncultured bacterium. Its description in RNAcentral is "partial 16S ribosomal RNA". It matches the Rfam family "Bacterial small subunit ribosomal RNA", at positions 338 to 795 of the family's 1533-position model. The record is from RNAcentral.
CCUACGGGGGGCAGCAGUGAGGAAUAUUGGUCAAUGGGCGAGAGCCUGAACCAGCCAAGUCGCGUGAGGGAGUACUGCCCUAUGGGUUGUAAACCUCUUUUGUCGGGGAGCAAAAGCCGGACGUGUCCGGCUGUGAGAGUACCCGAAGAAAAAGCAUCGGCUAACUCCGUGCCAGCAGCCGCGGUAAUACGGAGGAUGCGAGCGUUAUCCGGAUUUAUUGGGUUUAAAGGGUGCGCAGGCGGAUUUUUAAGUCAGCGGUAAAAUCGUGGGGCUCAACCCCAUCCAGCCGUUGAAACUGGGGAUCUAGAGUGUGCGAGAGGUAUGCGGAAGGCGUGGUGUAGCGGUGAAAUGCAUAGAUAUCACGCAGAACCCCGAUUGCGAAGGCAGCAUACCGGUGCACAACUGACGCUCAGGCACGAAAGCGUGGGUAUCGAACAGGAUUAGAUACCCCAGUAGUC